AAGUUUUUCAAUUAAAACUUUUUUUUUAUAUAUAAAACUAAAGGAAACCCAAACCCAUCAAUACCCUUGCUGUUAAUAAAUUAUUCAGCUAAAUUAAAUUUUCUUUUACCCCUCAAUUAAUUCCUCUUAGAAAAUGUACACUAGUUAAAAAUGUUUAUUAAUUGUGUAUAAUAUAUAUAUGCAGAAAAGUGGGAAAGAAAUGCUGAAUCGUUAGAUAAGACAGAGAAACUACCAUCUAAAGAUAAAUGGGAAAGAAAUGUUGGAUUAUCAGACGAAAAGUGCAAACAGUAUUGCUGUGUUACAAUUGUUAUUGAGAGGGUCGGCUGUCUGUGUUGCGACAAACUAUCAUCUACAGAAAUUAAAAAAUAUCCAAUUCAAGUGGUAAUGAACGUAGAAGCUUCUGGUGAAAUAGGAGGAGUUCAGCUGCUGAGGGUUCCAGGCCAGUAAACAAGAAUAAUAAUUUAUGAACAUUUUAUAUACCUGGUUUGUGUGUAAAUCUUUUUAAAAUAAAAUAUUGAAAUAAGAGGAAUGGAACAAAAAUUAUGUUAAUAGAAAUAAAAGAAGAUAAAGUCAGUCUUUUUUAAUUAUUACAUGUCUCUAUAUAUCUCUCCAUUUUAUUAGCCUAGAAUAUAAUUAAUAAGAGCUGA
This is a long non-coding RNA of Arachis duranensis, 647 nucleotides long. RefSeq lists it as uncharacterized. The record is from RefSeq and is a predicted model, not a curated record. The transcript has 3 exons. NCBI's taxonomy places the organism in Eukaryota, Viridiplantae, Streptophyta, Magnoliopsida, Fabales, Fabaceae.